GCGUCGUUAGCUCAGUGGUCAGAGCAGCCGGCUCUUACCCGGCGGGUCAGGGGUUCGACUCCCUUACGGCGCA
This 73-nucleotide transfer RNA is filed under the name Pseudonocardiales bacterium. RNAcentral's name for it is "tRNA-Lys". It matches the Rfam family "tRNA". Rfam says of the family: Transfer RNA (tRNA) molecules are approximately 80 nucleotides in length. Their secondary structure includes four short double-helical elements and three loops (D, anti-codon, and T loops). The record is from RNAcentral. Lineage: Bacteria; Bacillati; Actinomycetota; Actinomycetes; Pseudonocardiales.